This 502-nucleotide ribosomal RNA is filed under the name uncultured bacterium. RNAcentral's name for it is "bacterial SSU rRNA". It matches the Rfam family "Bacterial small subunit ribosomal RNA", at positions 15 to 507 of the family's 1533-position model. The record is from RNAcentral.
GAUCAUGGCUCAGAGUGAACGCUGGCGGCAGGCCUAAUACAUGCAAGUCGAACGGCAGCACAGCAGAGCUUGCUCUGUGGGUGGCGAGUGGCGGACGGGUGAGGAAUACAUGGGAAUCUGCCCAGUCGUGGGGGAUAACGUAGGGAAACUUACGCUAAUACCGCAUGCGCCCUUCGGGGAAAGCCGGGGACCUUCGGGCCUGGCGCGAUUGGAUGAGCCCAUGUCGGAUUAGCUAGUUGGCGGGGUAAUGGCCCACCAAGGCGACGAUCCGUAGCUGGUCUGAGAGGAUGAUCAGCCACACUGGAACUGAGACACGGUCCAGACUCCUACGGGAGGCAGCAGUAGGGAAUAUUGGACAAUGGGCGCAAGCCUGAUCCAGCCAUGCCGCGUGAGUGAAGAAGGCCCUCGGGUUGUAAAGCUCUUUUGUCCGGAAAGAAAAGCGCCGGGUUAAUACCCUGGUGUCCUGACGGUACCGGAAGAAUAAGCACCGGCUAGCUUCGUG